GCUUACGGCCAUACCAGCCCAAGAACGCCCGGUCUCGUUUGAUCUCGGAAGCUAAGAAGGCUUGGGCCUGAUUAUACUUGGAUGGGAGACCUCCUGGGAAUACCAGGUGCUGUAAGCU
Ribosomal RNA from Denticeps clupeoides (denticle herring), 118 nucleotides. The record is from Ensembl. Lineage: Eukaryota; Metazoa; Chordata; Actinopteri; Clupeiformes; Denticipitidae.